GAUUGAACGCUGGCGGCGUGCUUAACACAUGCAAGUCGAUCGGUAACAGGUGUAGCAAUACAUGCUGACGAGAGGCGGACGGGUGAGUAAUGCUUGGGAAUCUGCCUAUUAGUGGGGGACAACCCGGGGAAACUCGGGCUAAUACCGCAUACGCUCUACGGAGGAAAGCCGGGGACCGCAAGGCCUGGCGCUAAUAGAUGAGCCCAAGUCGGAUUAGCUAGUUGGUAGGGUAACGGCCUACCAAGGCGACAAUCCGUAGCUGGUCUGAGAGGACGACCAGCCACACCGGAACUGAGACACGGUCCGGACUCCUACGGGAGGCAGCAGUGGGGAAUAUUGG
This 340-nucleotide ribosomal RNA is filed under the name uncultured bacterium. RNAcentral describes it as "bacterial SSU rRNA". It matches the Rfam family "Bacterial small subunit ribosomal RNA", at positions 27 to 367 of the family's 1533-position model. The record is from RNAcentral.